AUGCCCGGGCACCAGCUUGGGCACAGGGUGAUGGCAGAGCCCCACAGCCCCUCAAAGGGAAGGGAUCCCGGUGCCCUGCUCCCUCAUCGCCCCACACCCUCAGAGCAUUCCUGUCCAUGUCCAGUGGCUCCAUCAGGGCUGUUAGCAGCCCCCCUGCCCCCCCUACCACAUUGGGCCCAGCCUGAAUCCCACCGCCCCGCUCCGACCCUCCCAGCCCCACAGCAGAGGGCAGUGCCCCGCUCCUCCUCACACAGCGACCAUUUCCCCUCGCUUCCCCGCAGCGCUCAGCUCCAUUUUAUAGGUCUGCUCUGUCCCAGGGGCAUCGCUGCUGCAGCGCAGCCGCUAAUGAGGUUAUCCCCGACCACGCCACCGAGUUCGCCAUGGAAUGAGAGGGAAAGCGGCGUUAACCCCUGUGCUGCCGGCACAGCGCUGCGCUGCGGAGCAUCUUUGUUCCAAAGUGGUCCCAGCGGCGAGGAGCCCUCGCCUCCGAGCAUCCCCACACCUGCAGAAGCAAUGCAGGUCCUCGUACACCCCGCUAUGGAGCCGGGAUCGGGGGAGCAGCCCCAGCUUUGCUCACGCUUUGUCUCGCAGCAGAGAGGGAUGGCGGAUGGCAGAGGGACGGCAGCCGGGAUAGGGGGCGGUGAGCGCCGCUCCCACCGAGCAGCCCCGCUCUGUUCACCGUCCUCGCGAGUUCACCCCGCCGUGAUGCUCCCACACCGCCCCGAGGGGCCCCACAUGGGAUCCCCACAGCGGGGGGAGCGGAGCAGAGACACCCCCCCCCCCCCCCCCCCAGCCCCCAUCCGCUGCCGACCCGGGACACUGCGGGCACCACGCGCUGCUCCCCGCCCCUCUGCGUGCAGAGCGUGGUGCGGACAGCAGGGGGAGCCAAAGCACCGCGAUGUGCCCGCAGCCCCAUCAUAUCGCAGCCCAUCAUCCCAUCCCAGCUCCAUCAUCCCAUCACAGCCCCAUCCCAGCUCCACCACUGCCUUCAGCUAUGCCAACCCACCCUGGCAUCUACUGCUCCCCAGCCCUCCUCCUCCAUCCUCCAUGCACUGCUCCGUGCAUCUGCUCUGUGGGUGUUCAUCCCUUCCCCAUCUCUCCCUCCAGCCCCACUCCUCUCCCUCCCAGCACACUCCCCCCCUCUGCCCCCUGCCCUGUGGCUCCCAGCAGCCAUUACCCUCCUCUCAGCCCCACACCCCUCCAGCAUUACCAUCUCCUCAGUCCCUAUGA
Molecule: long non-coding RNA, 1230 nt
Filed under: Coturnix japonica (Japanese quail)
Lineage: Eukaryota; Metazoa; Chordata; Aves; Galliformes; Phasianidae
Description: lncRNA (ENSCJPG00005005299.1)
Source: RNAcentral